UAGAGUUUGAUCCUGGCUCAGGAUGAACGCUGGCGGCGUGCUUAACACAUGCAAGUCGAACGGGAAACCUUUUAUUGAAGCUUCGGCAGAUUUAGAUUGUUUCUAGUGGCGGACGGGUGAGUAACGCGUGGGUAACCUGCCUUAUACAGGGGGAUAACAGUCAGAAAUGGCUGCUAAUACCGCAUAAGCGCACAGGACCGCAUGGUCUGGUGUGAAAAACUCCGGUGGUAUAAGAUGGACCCGCGUUGGAUUAGCUUGUUGGCAGGGUAACGGCCUACCAAGGCGACGAUCCAUAGCCGGCCUGAGAGGGUGAACGGCCACAUUGGGACUGAGACACGGCCCAGACUCCUACGGGAGGCAGCAGUGGGGAAUAUUGCACAAUGGGGGAAACCCUGAUGCAGCGACGCCGCGUGAAGGAAGAAGUAUCUCGGUAUGUAAACUUCUAUCAGCAGGGAAGAAAAUGACGGUACCUGACUAAGAAGCCCCGGCUAACUACGUGCCAGCAGCCGCGGUAAUACGUAGGGGGCAAGCGUUAUCCGGAUUUACUGGGUGUAAAGGGAGCGUAGACGGAUGGACAAGUCUGAUGUGAAAGGCUGGGGCUCAACCCCGGGACUGCAUUGGAAACUGCCCGUCUUGAGUGCCGGAGAGGUAAGCGGAAUUCCUAGUGUAGCGGUGAAAUGCGUAGAUAUUAGGAGGAACACCAGUGGCGAAGGCGGCUUACUGGACGGUAACUGACGUUGAGGCUCGAAAGCGUGGGGAGCAAACAGGAUUAGAUACCCUGGUAGUCCACGCGGUAAACGAUGAAUGCUAGGUGUCGGGGAGCAAAGCUCUUCGGUGCCGCCGCAAACGCAUUAAGCAUUCCACCUGGGGAGUACGUUCGCAAGAAUGAAACUCAAAUGAAUUGACGGAAGGGCGAA
Molecule: ribosomal RNA, 917 nt
Filed under: uncultured bacterium
Lineage: Bacteria
Description: bacterial SSU rRNA
Rfam family: Bacterial small subunit ribosomal RNA
Source: RNAcentral